UGGCACCAAUCAGAAACUGACUUCAUUCUCUCUAUUUUCCUCUUCAUUCCUUCUGAAAACCUCUCUAUUUUCUCUGCACAAGCAGAGAGGCCGAAAGGCCAUGCACUAACCCCAGUCACGACCACUCGACUUCUUCGACGAGUUAGGUAAUCAGACCACCAUUGUGCUUUAUCCCAUCCUAUCUCUAUAAGCUCAGGUCGUGAACUUCAAACCCAAGCGUGGAGCUUGCACUGCAUAGUGGUCACUGCAACUGUUCAUCAUUUUCUCCGAAGAGUUCUUAUCGAGUUCAACUAAGUGGAAGGUCAACAUUGAAAUGACUCGGAGGAAGAGAUCCCGAAAUUUUUCCAACAAGGAUCCGUGGCCAUUUGGCCACUUUUAGACUAGAUUUCCGGCCAACCUCGACCUCGACUGGAUUUCUAAUAGAAGUGUUUUUGGAUGAGAAUCUAGCUCGUUAGGGGCUCAGGAAGUUGGCCCAAAAUCCAUAAAAAUUGCAGAAAAUCGUGGAGAAGGCGAGUACAUGCAUACUCGCAAGCAUGUGAACGCACGUGACCACCUACAUGCCAUUGGCACAUGCAGCGUGUGGCAGGUUGUGCAGCCUCUUGUGGCGGCGCGUGACGGCACGUCCGGCCUCCGGCUGACGUGUGGUGGACAAGUGUGUGUCCGUGACGUCGAGUAGAUCGAUUUCAUGUAUUCAAACCCUAUGUUUGAGCAAUCUACGGAGGUUUUAUUUAAGUUUCCGUGUAUGUGUUAUUAAACUAGGUUAAUAAGUUAUUUCACAUAUAGGGGAAACGUAUCCCCGAGGACGUACGAGGUCAAGCAAGGCUAGGAGGCUUCGUUUCGACUGCGUAUCUGUGAGUGGGCAGUUUAUUUUAUGCUUAUACAUAUUGAUAGUUUCCCUAAAUGCGUAGUUACUUCACUUUUACGCUUAUAUUGCCAAGUAUUUGUUAUGGUGACAUUAAAUGUGAUAAAUGCUGCUAUAUGGUUGGGAUAUUA
This is a long non-coding RNA of Malus domestica (apple), 993 nucleotides long. RefSeq lists it as uncharacterized. The record is from RefSeq and is a predicted model, not a curated record. Lineage: Eukaryota; Viridiplantae; Streptophyta; Magnoliopsida; Rosales; Rosaceae.